This 449-nucleotide ribosomal RNA is filed under the name uncultured bacterium. Its description in RNAcentral is "partial 16S ribosomal RNA". It matches the Rfam family "Bacterial small subunit ribosomal RNA", at positions 29 to 523 of the family's 1533-position model. The record is from RNAcentral.
AACGAACGCUGGCGGCAUGCCUAACACAUGCAAGUCGAACGAGAUCUUCGGGUCUAGUGGCGCACGGGUGCGUAACGCGUGGGAAUCUGCCCUUUGGUUCGGAAUAACAGUUGGAAACGACUGCUAAUGCCGGAUGAUGACGAUAGUCCAAAGAUUUAUCGCCAGAGGAUGAGCCCGCGUAGGAUUAGCUAGUUGGUGUGGUAAAGGCGCACCAAGGCGACGAUCCUUAGCUGGUCUGAGAGGAUGAUCAGCCACACUGGGACUGAGACACGGCCCAGACUCCUACGGGAGGCAGCAGUGGGGAAUAUUGGACAAUGGGCGAAAGCCUGAUCCAGCAAUGCCGCGUGAGUGAUGAAGGCCUUAGGGUUGUAAAGCUCUUUUACCCGGGAUGAUAAUGACAGUACCGGGAGAAUAAGCUCCGGCUAACUCCGUGCCAGCAGCCGCGGUAA